RNAcentral lists this ribosomal RNA (276 nucleotides) under uncultured soil bacterium. RNAcentral's name for it is "partial 16S ribosomal RNA". It matches the Rfam family "Bacterial small subunit ribosomal RNA", at positions 26 to 285 of the family's 1533-position model. The record is from RNAcentral.
AGAAUCAACGCUGGCGGCGUGCCUCAGACAUGCAAGUCGAACGCGAAAGCCCCCUUCGGGGGGCAAGUAGAGUGGCGCACGGGUGAGUAACACGUAGGUAAUCUACCUUUGGAUGGGGAAUAACAACCGGAAACGGUUGCUAAUACCGCAUAAUGCAGCGGCACCUAAUGGUGACAGUUGUUAAAGCGGGGGAUCGAAAGACCUCGCGUCUGAAGAGGAGCCUGCGGCGGAUUAGCUAGCUGGUAGGGUAACGGCCUACCAAGGCUACGAUCCGUA